Long non-coding RNA from Amphimedon queenslandica, 288 nucleotides. RefSeq lists it as uncharacterized. The record is from RefSeq and is a predicted model, not a curated record. Lineage: Eukaryota; Metazoa; Porifera; Demospongiae; Haplosclerida; Niphatidae. The transcript has 2 exons.
GGCACGUGGGCUAACUGGACAGUGAUUUGUAGGCAUGACUUGGCAACAUUCAGACAGUUCACAAUGAAGUUGUGGACCUGAGUCUGAACUCAUCAUCUCAAGGACUGAUCUCUCAUUCAUAUACUGAAGAUCUAUAGACUGGGUUUAGGAACUAAGGACUGUAACACUAUAAGACUGGUUUAAUUAAUUAAAAUCAUUGUUGACUUGUACUCUGCAUGUAUGGCUGAAGUGUGUUUCUUAUUUUAUUGUCAUUUUUCAUGAUUUAAUCUCAUUUCUGUUUAUAAGUCA